CCCUAUGGGGUGCGAAAAGAUCCUCAAGUUCGAGGGCUGCUAUCACGGCCAUGCCGAUUCGUUGCUGGUCAAGGCGGGCUCCGGCGUGGCCACGCUCGGCAUCCCCGGAAGCCCGGGUGUCCCGAAAGGCCUCGCGGAGCUCACCGUCACGGUUCCCUUCAACGACCUGGCCGCCGUGAAAACCGCCGUGAAAAAGCACGGAAAGGAACUGGCCUGCGUCAUCGUGGAGCCCGCCGCGGGCAACAUGGGCCUCGUCCCCCCCGCGCCCGGUUUUCUGAAAGGCCUGCGGGAACUCACCGCGGCCGCGGGAAUCGUCCUGAUCUUCGAUGAAGUCAUUUCGGGGUUCCGGCUGCGUUUCGGGGGCUUGCAGCACCUCGUCGGAAUCCGGCCCGACCUGACCUGCCUCGGCAAGAUCAUUGGCGGGGGGGC
This 429-nucleotide ribosomal RNA is filed under the name uncultured prokaryote. RNAcentral describes it as "partial 16S ribosomal RNA". The record is from RNAcentral.